CCCUUAACUAUUAAAAUUUUCGUUUUGGUCCUUUAACUUACUUUUUGGUUUCGUUUUGGUCCCUUAACUUAUUUUUUAGUUUAAUUUUGGUCCCUUAACUCUAAUACAUUCAUCCUAACAUAAAGGACCAAAGUGGUUGACAGAGGAUGAGUUAAGGGACCAAAACAAAACCAAAAAGUAAGUUAAAGGACCAAAACGAAACUUUUAAUAGUUAAGGGACCAAAACGAAACCAAAAAGUAAGUUAAGGGACCAAAACGAAACUUUUAAUAGUUAAGGUA
Medicago truncatula (barrel medic) is the source of this 279-nucleotide microRNA precursor. It matches the Rfam family "MIR2655 microRNA precursor family". The record is from Rfam. NCBI's taxonomy places the organism in Eukaryota, Viridiplantae, Streptophyta, Magnoliopsida, Fabales, Fabaceae.